AGAAAGGAGGGAGAGAGGCCUGCGCUGCAUAGCUUUGAAAGCCCACAUCAGGGUCUACGCACGUGGACACACUCAGGCACAUCUCCCCUCUCUCUCUCUCUCUCUCUCUCCAGUGCCUCCAUCUUCAUCCGUCCUAACCCUGUUCUCUGCAUCGACUGGUUAACAUCGUGCAAAUCCCGGGGAAGAGUGGAAUGCUUAGCCUUCAUCUCGACCCAUUUAGCAGCGCGCUUUGUUGUGUCUAGUCCGCGAUGUUGUAUCAGUGAGCUGUUGCGGAUGCAGAGUUGGCUUCUGAUGAUGAUGAUCAGAUUUUAACUUUCCCCCAAACCCCAAACACGAGCCCCCUGUUUUUUCAUUCUGAUUAUCUCCCAGAUCUGUUGUAUCCAUAAAUGGUAUCGUGACCCUUUCCUAUUCCCUUGCCCACUGUUGCCCAAAUGUCAGUGGCACCACCCACUUUGUGUGCAUAUUUUGUUUCACUGCUGUACGAUCUCUCUGCUCCUGCGAGCUGGCUGUGUAGAGCCUAUCUAAGAUUGCUGACUUCAGACGGUGUUAUACAGGUUGUAGGCUCUUGCAGUCUGCCCAAGCUUUUACUUCAUACUUCAAAGUUCAGAACCACCACCCCUUUCCUUUGGCUAACAAGAAAAUAGAAAAGAACACAUUUAUACCCCACAAAAAAACAUCAACCAUAAAUUGACUAAAUUACCUUAAACAACGGUAGACCCCACCCUCGACUCUCUCUUGCUCCCUCUUUAGAGUCGUUUGGAUGGGGGACCACGAACUCAAAGAAUAGGGAGCGAGACUGUAAAGUUUAUCCAUCCGUCGGUGAAUUGCUUAUGCAGAAUUUUCAAGCUGCAAGAUUUCGAAGGAAAUAAAGCCAACCAACAGGUCGAUGCUUCAUUGAUUACUACAGGAGUUCAUGAACAAGGCGGUCAGCAAUAUUUUUCACGAAUUUACUUGGCCAAGGACACACAGUGACCACCCUGACUUGAGUUGAGGAACGUACAGAGUGUUCAAUAGCGCAUUUAUGCUUUUUCGAGAGAAUAGUCGUUCUGUCUUUCAACGAG
Syzygium oleosum is the source of this 1061-nucleotide long non-coding RNA. RefSeq lists it as uncharacterized. Lineage: Eukaryota; Viridiplantae; Streptophyta; Magnoliopsida; Myrtales; Myrtaceae. The transcript is spliced from 3 exons. The record is from RefSeq and is a predicted model, not a curated record.